AAAACGACUCUCGACAACGGAUAUCUCGGCUCUCGCAUCGAUGAAGAACGUAGCAAAAUGCGAUACUUGGUGUGAAUUGCAGAAUCCCGUGAACCAUCGAGUCUUUGACGCAAGUUGCGCCCGAAGCCAUUAGGCCGAGGGCACGUCUGCCUGGGCGUCACGC
This 163-nucleotide ribosomal RNA is filed under the name Downingia bicornuta var. bicornuta. Its description in RNAcentral is "5.8S ribosomal RNA". It matches the Rfam family "5.8S ribosomal RNA". From Rfam's summary of the family: 5.8S ribosomal RNA (5.8S rRNA) is a component of the large subunit of the eukaryotic ribosome. It is transcribed by RNA polymerase I as part of the 45S precursor that also contains 18S and 28S rRNA. Lineage: Eukaryota; Viridiplantae; Streptophyta; Magnoliopsida; Asterales; Campanulaceae. The record is from RNAcentral. RNAcentral also lists the same sequence under 1 other name.